This 516-nucleotide ribosomal RNA is filed under the name uncultured bacterium. Its description in RNAcentral is "partial 16S ribosomal RNA". It matches the Rfam family "Bacterial small subunit ribosomal RNA", at positions 28 to 523 of the family's 1533-position model. The record is from RNAcentral.
GACGAACGCUGGCGGCAUGCCUAAUACAUGCAAGUCGAGCGGAGUUGAUGGAAAGCUUGCUUUCCUGAUACUUAGCGGCGGACGGGGGAGUAACACGUAGGCAACCUGCCCUCAAGCUUGGGACAACUACCGGAAACGGUAGCUAAUACCGAAUACUUGUUUUCUUCGCCUGAAGAGAACUGGAAGGACGGAGCAAUCUGUCACUUGGGGAUGGGCCUGCGGCGGAUUAGCUAGUUGGUGAGGUAACGGCUCACCAAGGCGACGAUGCGUAGCCGACCUGAGAGGGUGAUCGGCCACACUGGGACUGAGACACGGCCCAGACUCCUACGGGAGGCAGCAGUAGGGAAUCUUCCGCAAUGGGCGAAAGCCUGACGGAGCAAUGCCGCGUGAGUGAUGAAGGUUUUCGGAUCGUAAAGCUCUGUUGCCAGGGAAGAACGCUUGGGAGAGUAACUGCUCCCAAGGUGACGGUACCUGAGAAGAAAGCCCCGGCUAACUACGUGCCAGCCGCCGCCGUAA